Molecule: transfer RNA, 75 nt
Filed under: Alphaproteobacteria bacterium
Lineage: Bacteria; Pseudomonadati; Pseudomonadota; Alphaproteobacteria
Also listed under: 8 other names
Description: tRNA-Gln
Rfam family: tRNA
About the family: Transfer RNA (tRNA) molecules are approximately 80 nucleotides in length. Their secondary structure includes four short double-helical elements and three loops (D, anti-codon, and T loops).
Source: RNAcentral
UGGGGCGUAGCCAAGUGGUAAGGCACCGGAUUUUGAUUCCGGCAUUCCCUGGUUCGAAUCCAGGCGCCCCAGCCA